CCACAACAUUAAGAAACAUCUAAGCUCCUUCAUCGUAAAAAUGAUGGUAAUAUAUCUGAUUUUAGUUUUGAUGUGUGAUGCGAGCUUUGGAGAUUCAGUCCAUCCACUAAGCAAUGAAGUCUACUCUGAAGACGGACAAGCAGUGACUCUGAUGUGUAAUUACUCUACCAGCACCACAGCAACUCAUUAUCUCUUCUGGUACCGGCAGAGUCCCAAUGGAAACCCUGAAUAUCUCAUACACACUGACUCCUACCAAGGAACCAAGAGAACUGAGGGCUAUGAGAUACUGGUGGAUAAAGACACGAAACAAGUUCAGCUCAAUAUAUCGAAGCUUGAUGUGGCAGAAAGUGCUACAUACUACUGUGCCCUGAGUCCCACAGUGUUUUAG
Molecule: non-coding RNA, 388 nt
Organism: Lepisosteus oculatus (spotted gar)
Lineage: Eukaryota; Metazoa; Chordata; Actinopteri; Semionotiformes; Lepisosteidae
Source: the annotation of a RefSeq genome assembly